ACGAUGAUGCCCAGCUUGCUGGGCGGAUUAGUGGCGAACGGGUGAGUAAUACGUGAGUAACCUGCCCUUGACUCUGGGAUAAGCCUGGGAAACUGGGUCUAAUACUGGAUACUACCUCUUGCCGCAUGGUGGGUGGUGGAAAGGGUUUUACUGGUUUUGGAUGGGCUCACGGCCUAUCAGCUUGUUGGUGGGGUAAUGGCUCACCAAGGCGACGACGGGUAGCCGGCCUGAGAGGGUGACCGGCCACACUGGGACUGAGACACGGCCCAGACUCCUACGGGAGGCAGCAGUGGGGAAUAUUGCACAAUGGGCGGAAGCCUGAUGCAGCGACGCCGCGUGAGGGAUGACGGCCUUCGGGUUGUAAACCUCUUUUCAGUAGGGAAGAAGCGAGAGGUGACGGUACCUGCAGAAGAAGGCGCCGGCUAACUACGUGCCAGCAGCCGCGGUAAUACGUAGGGCGCAAGCGUUGUCCGGAAUUAUUGGGCGUAAAGAGCUCGUAGGCGGUUUGUCGCGUUCUUGCUUGUGAAAGCCCGGGGCUCAACCCCGGGUCUGCAGUGGGUACGGGCAGACUAGAGUGCAGUAGGGGAGACUGGAAUUCCUGGUGUAGCGGUGAAAUGCGCAGAUAUCAGGAGGAACACCGAUGGCGAAGGCAGGUCUCUGGGCUGUUACUGACGCUGAGGAGCGAAAGCAUGGGGAGCGAACAGGAUUAGAUACCCUGGUAGUCCAUGCCGUAAACGUUGGGCACUAGGUGUGGGGGGACAUUUCCACGUUUUCCGCGCCGUAGCUAACGCAUUAAGUGCCCCCGCCUGGGGGAGUACGGCCGCAAGGCUAAAACUCAAAGGAAUUGACGGGGGCCCCGCCACAAGCGGCGGAGCAUGCGGAUUAAUUCGAUGCAACGGCGAAGAACCUUACCAAGGCUUGACAUUCACCGGACCGCCCCAGAAGAAUGGGGUUUCCCUUCGGGGCUUGGUGGAACAGGUGGUGCAUGGUUGUCGUCCAGCUCAGUGUCGUGAGAAUGUUGGGUUAAGUUCCCCGCCAACCGAAGGCGCAAACCCUCGUUUUCUAUGUUGCCAGCACGUGAUGGUGGGGACUCAUAGGAGACUGCCGGGGUCAACUCGGAGGAAGGUGGGGAUGACGUCAAAUCAUCAUGCCCCUUAUGUCUUGGGCUUCACGCAUGCUACAAUGGCCGGUACAAAGGGUUGCGAUACUGUGAGGUGGAGCUAAUCCCAAAAAGCCGGUCUCAGUUCGGAUUGAGGUCUGCAACUCGACCUCAUGAAGUCGGAGUCGCUAGUAAUCGCAGAUCAGCAACGCUGCGGUGAAUACGUUCCCGGGCCUUGUACACACCGCCCGUCAAGUCACGAAAGUUGGUAACACCCGAAGCCGGUGGCCUAACCCCUUGUGGGAGGGAGCCGUCGAAGGUGGGACUGGCGAUUGGGACUAAGUCGUAACAAG
RNAcentral lists this ribosomal RNA (1452 nucleotides) under Kocuria sp. CAR-CM11. RNAcentral describes it as "16S ribosomal RNA". It matches the Rfam family "Bacterial small subunit ribosomal RNA". Lineage: Bacteria; Bacillati; Actinomycetota; Actinomycetes; Micrococcales; Micrococcaceae. The record is from RNAcentral.